UAGGGAAUCUUCCACAAUGGACGCAAGUCUGAUGGAGCAACGCCGCGUGAGUGAAGAAGGUUUUCGGAUCGUAAAGCUCUGUUGUUGGUGAAGAAGGAUAGAGGCAGUAACUGGUCUUUAUUUGACGGUAAUCAACCAGAAAGUCACGGCUAACUACGUGCCAGCAGCCGCGGUAAUACGUAGGUGGCAAGCGUUGUCCGGAUUUAUUGGGCGUAAAGCGAGCGCAGGCGGAAUGAUAAGUCUGAUGUGAAAGCCCACGGCUCAACCGUGGAACUGCAUCGGAAACUGUCAUUCUUGAGUGCAGAAGAGUAGAGUGGAAUUCCAUGUGUAGCGGUGGAAUGCGUAGAUAUAUGGAAGAACACCAGUGGCGAAGACGGCUCUCUGGUCUGCAACUGACGCUGAGGCUCGAAAGCAUGGGUAGCGAACAGG
Molecule: ribosomal RNA, 429 nt
Filed under: bacterium
Lineage: Bacteria
Description: partial 16S ribosomal RNA
Rfam family: Bacterial small subunit ribosomal RNA
Source: RNAcentral